This 264-nucleotide unclassified non-coding RNA is filed under the name Zea mays. RNAcentral's name for it is "misc RNA Zm00001eb433580". Lineage: Eukaryota; Viridiplantae; Streptophyta; Magnoliopsida; Poales; Poaceae. The record is from RNAcentral.
UUGCCCAGCUCAUGUCCACGCCCCACGUCCACCCACUGCAAGAGGAAUGGCUUACCUUCACUCCGUGUGUCUCAAUCGAGGGGGAGUCACCAACGAACGACCCACAAUUGGAGUUUGAGCAGGACUAGAGAGGAGACGUCAGUUCUUCCUCCUCCGCUCAUACAUUGGAGGGGAAAUACCAGAAGCUUGGAGCUCUGCCCCGACUUUCUUGAUCGGCUUGCCAACUGGCUUGUAUUCAUCACCGAAAACCAUUUCUUGUCUUGA